UAAACUUGUAUCUGUAUAAUUUGCUUUCUUUCAGGUCAUUUAACCCAUUUGUUCCACUUCUUCAUUGUUCCAUGCCUGCAGUACAGAUGUGGUCCCUGUGGGGAAUUCACCAUGUGUGCUCCAGAAAUGGUCCACGUUACAUUCCUCUUCUUGUUGAUAGUGGAGUCAUGGAGAGUGUUGAGAAAAUUUGUAAUAAUCCAUUUAAUGGAGUCAGUGAGCUGGCACAGAAGCUCAUAAAUACUGUGACAGAUUUCCAGUCAUCUAGAAAGUGAAUAAUGCGAAUUGCUUUUAAACAGGCACUGAUCAUAUUUUGUAGUAAACUACAUGGCAUCAAGAAAUUGUAUAUUUUUGCAGAAAAUGUAGAAAUAGAAUAAAUAAUUUGCAUUUU
Long non-coding RNA from Orbicella faveolata, 388 nucleotides. NCBI's taxonomy places the organism in Eukaryota, Metazoa, Cnidaria, Anthozoa, Scleractinia, Merulinidae. The record is from RefSeq and is a predicted model, not a curated record.